RNAcentral lists this ribosomal RNA (915 nucleotides) under Gymnodinium sp. RNAcentral's name for it is "LSU rRNA". It matches the Rfam family "Eukaryotic large subunit ribosomal RNA", at positions 63 to 909 of the family's 3401-position model. Lineage: Eukaryota; Dinophyceae; Gymnodiniales; Gymnodiniaceae. The record is from RNAcentral.
AACUAAACAGGAUUCCCUUAGUAAUGGCGAAUGAACAGGGAUGAGCUCAACAUGGAAAUUGUGGCACCUCGCCAUGAAUUGUAAUCUCUCGAUGCAUUGCCAAUGGAGGCGCAGAUGUAAGCCGCUUGGAAAAGCGAUUCAUGGAGGGUGAGAUGCCCGUUUGUCAUCUGCAGUCCUCUGUGUUCGGCGUGCAUUCUAAGAGUCACGUUCCUUGGGAGUGGAGCGCAAAUUGGGUGGUAAAUUUCAUCUCAAGCUAAAUAUGGGUUCGAGACCGAUAGCAAACAAGUACCAUGAGGGAAAGAUGAAAAGGACUUUGAAAAGAGAGUUAAAAGUGCCUGAACUUGCUGAAACGAAAGCGGAUGGAACCAGUCUGCUUGGUGAGAUUGUCGCGUGCUGCAUUGAUUGUCUGCUUGCUCAGUGUAAGCGUGCUUGUAGUCUUUGAUGUGUUCGCGCGUGAUGUUUCUUGCCUUGUCAGUCACUGUCAGUUGGCAGGCGAGGAUAACUCUUGGGACAUGGUAGCCUACUUGCGGGUGGGUGAAUGUGCCUUGUAGGACUCGCUUGUGUACUGCAUUCUUUUGUUUGGCUGCGCUGCUGUGCUUUGGUGUCCUCGUGGCUCUGAGCACUGGCACCUCCCUUACAAUCUAUGGUGACGAAAUGGUUCUAUUCGACCCGUCUUGAAACACGGACCAAGGAGUCUAACAUAUGUGCAAGUUCAUGGGCGUUAAACCUAUGUGCGUAAUGAAAGUAAGUGCUGAGAUAUUUGCAUCAGCAGCCGACCAAUCGAUUGGGAGAGGUUUGAGCAUGAGCAUAUCUGUUAGGACCCGAAAGAUGGUGAACUAUGCCUGAGAAGGGUGAAGUCUGGGGAAACUCAGAUGGAGGCUCGUAGCGAUACUGACGUGCAAAUCGUUCGUCAUA